UCUUUGCUAGUGUAUUGGUUAGUACACAUGCCUGUCAUUUGCAAGACCAUGCAAAAGCUGGGUUUGACUCCCAGGCAAAGAG
This is a non-coding RNA of Tephrocybe sp. NHM501043, 82 nucleotides long. The record is from the annotation of a GenBank genome assembly. Lineage: Eukaryota; Fungi; Basidiomycota; Agaricomycetes; Agaricales; Lyophyllaceae.